AUUUAGUUAAGAUACAAGGAAAUAAUUGCUGUUUAAAUUUAUAAUUUACUAUAAAUUAAGAAGAAAAGUGAAUAUGCCAACAUGUCCAGAAAAGAUGGAAACAACAGAAGAUAGUGAUGUAACAAAGACAAGAGGAUUGAAUUUGAGUGAAUGCAGUAGCAUGAUUUCUGAAAGUAGCAUGGAAUUUUUAUCACAGGUGAUAGCACCAUGUAUAGAAUAUUGGGGCAAUGUGGAGCACAAGUGAAAACAAGUCUUGAAGGCAUAGAUUACUCUGUUGCUGAAGGAGGACGUUCAUUUUGUACCAUCAUAGAUAUCCUAUAAGAACUAGCUAAGAUUGACAUAAUUGAUCGAGAAAAACACAAAGAAUUUUCUUCAUUGCUUCUGCAGUGAAAACAGUAUCUACGAACAGAUUUCAAGUUUUGAGUGAAGAUGACAAAUACCAAUCUUCAGAAGAAUCUGAUCAAGAAGUGCAGAAUAACACGCUUACAAAUCUGACGAAUGUGAUGAAAAAUCGAAAGCCAGGAAGAGCAGGAAAUCGUAUGCAGUUGAAGACAUCAGUCCAACUUUUGUAGUUGAUCAGAAGCGUGUUUGCCAUGAUGCUUGGAA
Long non-coding RNA from Mytilus trossulus (common blue mussel), 606 nucleotides. RefSeq lists it as uncharacterized. The transcript has 6 exons. Lineage: Eukaryota; Metazoa; Mollusca; Bivalvia; Mytilida; Mytilidae. The record is from RefSeq and is a predicted model, not a curated record.